Molecule: ribosomal RNA, 253 nt
Filed under: uncultured bacterium
Lineage: Bacteria
Description: partial 16S ribosomal RNA
Rfam family: Bacterial small subunit ribosomal RNA
Source: RNAcentral
UACGUAGGGGGCAAGCGUUGUCCGGAUUCAUUGGGCGUAAAGAGCGUGUAGGCGGCCAGGUAGGUCGGUUGUGAAAACUGGAGGCUCAACCUUCAGACGUCGACCGAAACCAUCUGGCUAGAGUCCGGGAGAGGAGAGUGGAAUUCCUGGUGUAGCGGUGAAAUGCGCAGAUAUCAGGAAGAACACCCGUGGCGAAAGCGGCUCUCUGGAACGGUACUGACGCUGAGGCGCGAAAGCCAGGGGAGCGAACAGG